CCUACGGGUGGCAGCAGUGAGGAAUAUUGGUCAAUGGGCGCGAGCCUGAACCAGCCAAGUCGCGUGAAGGAUGACGGCCCUACGGGUUGUAAACUUCUUUUAUAAAGGAAUAAAGUCAGUCACGUGUGUCUUUCUGAAUGUACCGUAUGAAUAAGGAUCGGCUAACUCCGUGCCAGCAGCCGCGGUAAUACGGAGGAUUCGAGCGUUAUCCGGAUUUAUUGGGUUUAAAGGGAGCGUAGAAGGGAUGUUAAGUUAGUUGUGAAAGUGUGGGGCUCAACCGCGAAAUUGCAGUUGAUACUGGCAGCCUUGAGUGCAGUUGCGGUAGGCGGAAUUCGUGGUGUAGCGGUGAAAUGCUUAGAGAUCACAAAGAACACCGAUUGCGAAGGCAGCCUACUAAGCUACCACUGACGUUGAGGCACGAAAGUGUGGGUAGCAAACAGGAUUAGAUACCCCAGUAGUC
This 460-nucleotide ribosomal RNA is filed under the name uncultured bacterium. RNAcentral's name for it is "partial 16S ribosomal RNA". It matches the Rfam family "Bacterial small subunit ribosomal RNA", at positions 338 to 795 of the family's 1533-position model. The record is from RNAcentral.